Molecule: ribosomal RNA, 484 nt
Filed under: uncultured bacterium
Lineage: Bacteria
Description: partial 16S ribosomal RNA
Rfam family: Bacterial small subunit ribosomal RNA
Source: RNAcentral
AUUGAACGCUGGCGGCAGGCCUAACACAUGCCAGUCGAGCGGAUGAAGGGAGCUUGCUCCUGGAUUCAGCGGCGGACGGGUGAGUAAUGCCUAGGAAUCUGCCUGGUAGUGGGGGAUAACGUCCGGGAACGGGCGCUAAUACCGCAUACGUCCUGAGGGAGAAAGUGGGGGAUCUUCGGACCUCACGCUAUCAGAUGAGCCUAGGUCGGAUUAGCUAGUUGGUGGGGUAAAGGCCUACCAAGGCGACGAUCCGUAACUGGUCUGAGAGGAGGAUCAGUCACACUGGAACUGAGACACGGUCCAGACUCCUACGGGAGGCAGCAGUGGGGAAUAUUGGACAAGGGGCGAAAGCUUGAUCCAGCCAUGCCGCGUGGGUGAAGAAGGUCUUCGGACUGUAAAGCACUUUAAGUUGGGAGGAAGGGCAGUAAGGUAAUAACUUGAUGUUUUGACGGUACCAAAAGAAUAAGCACCGGCUAACUUCGUG